Molecule: ribosomal RNA, 253 nt
Filed under: uncultured bacterium
Lineage: Bacteria
Description: partial 16S ribosomal RNA
Rfam family: Bacterial small subunit ribosomal RNA
Source: RNAcentral
UACGGGGGGGGCAAGCGUUGUUCGGAAUUACUGGGCGUAAAGGGCUCGUAGGCGGCCAACUAAGUCGGACGUGAAAUCCCCAGGCUCAACCUGGGAACUGCGUCUGAUACUGGAUGGCUUGAGUUUGGGAGAGGGACGCGGAAUUCCAGGUGUAGCGGUGAAAUGCGUAGAUAUCUGGAGGAACACCGGUGGCGAAGGCGGCGUCCUGGACCAACACUGACACUGAGGAGCGAAAGCCAGGGGAGCAAACGGG